Molecule: ribosomal RNA, 660 nt
Filed under: uncultured Enterobacteriaceae bacterium
Lineage: Bacteria; Pseudomonadati; Pseudomonadota; Gammaproteobacteria; Enterobacterales; Enterobacteriaceae
Description: bacterial SSU rRNA
Rfam family: Bacterial small subunit ribosomal RNA
Source: RNAcentral
GAUGGGCUCCGAAGCUAACGCGAUAAAUCGACCGCUGGGAGUACGGCCGCAAGGUUAAAACUCAAAUGAAUGACGGGGCCCGCACAAGCGGUGGAGCAUGUGGCUUAAUUCGAUGCAACGCGAAGAACCUUACCUGGUCUUGACAUCCAUAGAAUUCUGCAGAGAUGUGGGAGUGCCUUCGGGAACUAUGAGACAGGUGCUGCAUGGCUGUCGUCAGCUCGUGUUGUGAAAUGUUGGGUUAAGUCCCGCAACGAGCGCAACCCUUAUUCUUUGUUGCCAGCGAUUUGGUCGGGAACUCAAAGGAGACUGCCGUUGAUAAAGCGGAGGAAGGUGGGGACGACGUCAAGUCAUCAUGGCCCUUACGACCAGGGCUACACACGUGCUACAAUGGCGUAUACAAAGGGAAGCGAAGGUGCGAGCUGGAGCGGAUCUCAUAAAGUACGUCUAAGUUCGGAUUGGAGUCUGCAACUCGACUCCAUGAAGUCGGAAUCGCUAGUAAUCGUAGAUCAGAAUGCUACGGUGAAUACGUUCCCGGGCCUUGUACACACCGCCCGUCACACCAUGGGAGUGGGUUGCACCAGAAGUAGAUAGCUUAACCGCGAGGGGGGCGUUUACCACGGUGUGAUUCAUGACUGGGGUGAAGUCGUAACAAGGUAACCA